This is a long non-coding RNA of Olea europaea var. sylvestris, 1037 nucleotides long. RefSeq lists it as uncharacterized. Lineage: Eukaryota; Viridiplantae; Streptophyta; Magnoliopsida; Lamiales; Oleaceae. The transcript has 2 exons. The record is from RefSeq and is a predicted model, not a curated record.
UCAAAAAAUAGUACAACUGGCCAACCCAGAAAAUAAAGGAGCCCAAAAAUAAAAAAAUAAAAUAGUUAAAAACACCUACCCACAAAAAUUAUCCACUGAAAUAACUAGGGCUCUAGGUAACCCACAAAUGGUUGACUAAAGUCGCAGCUCAGAUCGAAAAUAGUGGCUUACAGCCCAAGUCAACUGGAAUAAAUUAAGGGCCUAAACCAAACAGCCUAUAAAAUAAUAGACUUAGCCCAAACUGAACAACCCAUACAACUAACACACGCAGCCCCAAAUCAACAGACUCCGCUGCACAAACCAAAUCCGUCGUCCACUGCUGCUGGAGAAUGGAGUCAGCCGACCAAAUUACGAGCUCCGAACGCUACCCAGUCUUCAACAGAUAGCACCACAAGAGCACCCACUUACUGCAACUGCUGAAUCACCAUGAAUUCACUACAGAACCGACGGAGGAGUUCUAAUAGACACUGCACAAGCACUAGGCUUUUCGACAGAACGCUUUAGAUCUACUCAACUGGAGAUGCCGUCGUCAAUUGACCGCUCGAUUCGACAAUGCUUGAAACACGCUUCCAUCCAUUUUUGAUGAGCUUCAGGUGGUGCCCAUUGCCAGCCUCCCAAAUGGUCGUCCUUUCUGCCCUCUCUUCGACUUUAAACAGGAAGUAUGUUUUCUAACUAUUUUCAUUGCCUUCUAUAAUAAUAAUAUUACUAUUUCCUGGCUCUUCCCAAUAUUGAGAAGAUUCAGUGUGUUCAUGCAUUUCACUGCAUACUUGCCAGAAGUUAUUCUUCUGGCAAUUAUUCUUCAAAAUGGAGUAUGGCCUGUUCAUGGUACCUUUGGUAUUGAUGAUAUGUUGCAACAGGUGUGACAUGUCCAGCAAGUCUGAUUGGAUUUAUAAAUUAGUCGUAGCAUAUUUUUGCCAACAAAAACAUUGCUAUAAAAAGGCAAAUCGCAAAAUUGUCCGCGUCUAUUAGCCUUUUGUGGCAUAUUUGCAACUUGAAGGACUGAAAAAUAUAAAUAAAAUGAUUGUGCAAGGGUUCUA